Molecule: ribosomal RNA, 301 nt
Filed under: uncultured bacterium
Lineage: Bacteria
Description: partial 16S ribosomal RNA
Rfam family: Bacterial small subunit ribosomal RNA
Source: RNAcentral
CAGUAGCCGCGGUAAUACAGAGGGUGCGAGCGUUAAUCAGAUUUACUGGGCGUAAAGCGUGCGUAGGCGGCUUCUUAAGUCGGAUGUGAAAUCCCUGAGCUUAACUUAGGAAUUGCAUUCGAUACUGGGAAGCUAGAGUAUGGGAGAGGAUGGUAGAAUUCCAGGUGUAGCGGUGAAAUGCGUAGAGAUCUGGAGGAAUACCGAUGGCGAAGGCAGCCAUCUGGCCUAAUACUGACGCUGAGGUACGAAAGCAUGGGGAGCAAACAGGAUUAGAUACCCCCGUAGUCCCUGUCUCUUAUAC